GGGCUGUCCGCAUGCGCGGUGACGCACGCCGACGUCACUUCGCCGGGCGCUUCCCCCUCAUUCCCCAGCUCUCGCCCCUCCUCGGUGGCGGGAAUUUUGUCGUGGGCGCUGGUCCGAGGGAGGCGCAAACCCUCCAGGCCAUGGCUGUCGCGUUGCCUGGCGUCGUGGAGGAGCUCCUGAGCGAGAUGGCCGCGGCCGUGCGGGAGAGCGCGCGAAUUCCUGAUGAACAUCUUUUAUCGCUGAAGUUUAUCUUUGGUGCAUCAGCAGUGCAGGCUUUGGACCUGGUGGAUCGACAUUCCGUCACCUUAAUCUCGUCACCCAGUGGAAGGCGUGCUUACCAGUUCCAGACGUUUCCAGGACGGUUGGGCUCACUGGUUGUCCGCUGCUGGACAAGGAAGAAGCGAGCUCUCUGUGGUGAAGCGAGCUCUCUGUGGUGUGUGCCACCUCGGCGACUGAACAGGCCACCCAGUCUCCAAGGCGCAGCUUAGGAAGCGUCAGGCCAGGGAACCUCUCUGUAGGAUCACUGCCCCUUCCUAAGUCACCAAGGAGCGUCCUGCCGGACCGGGAGCCCCACAGAAGGAACCAGUGAGAGCUCCAAGUCAGCAUGGGGCCCAGAGGUUGUGCCGGCCUCGGGGUAAAUGCAGGCGGCUUUGGAAAUUGGCACUGGAAUACCAAAGGUUGAGAAAGCGCACAGUGAAAUGGAGAUGUUGGAAGCGUCCAGUCAGCCCACUGGGCGCUGUCACUGUGCAAGGAACAAGCUGGCUCGGGAGACUGUUCCAUCGCGCUGGAUGAGGCCCUGGAGGGCAGAGCGCUGAGAGAAGAGGGGAGAGGACUUUCCCUUUCUUCCCACGGCUGAGUCACGACGUCGAUCAUGAAGGGGAAGAAGUGGCCCCGUCCAGGCCCUGAUGACCUCUGCCUUCUCCUUCUAGGUACUGGGAAGCUCUGGGAAAACAUACACCUGUUUGGCCUCUUGUCAUUACUGCUCAUGCCCUGCAUUUGCCUUCUCGGUUCUACGGAAGAGUGACAGCCUACUGGUGAGGAGGGGGAGGGCUCUUACCAUCUGCAGGCCAAUCAGGAGACAGUCUGAUAGCCCUUGUGUCAUGGUCUAAAAGUUGUACAAAAUGGGAAUUUCAGUGCAUGUUGCAACACAUAGUUUUUAUUACCCUUAACUUCAGUUAAUCAUCUCAGGAUGUAACCGCCGAAAAUGUAAUGUCAUCUUUAGAACCACAUCAGGUUCCUGUUUGUUUCAUGUAAGAGGUCACGGAUUAAACGCAGGGGAGAACAAGGUAAUCACAGAGGCUGGCCUCUGUGAUGUGCAACAGAAAUAGGAACUUGAUGAUGGCCACGGUGCCUGUCCCCAACUCCAGCCAUGAGGUGCGUCCUCUACCAUGCCUGAGACAGCCUUCCACACAGGGUAAGAGUGCCUUCGCCUGUCCCAUAAGCCUUUGCAAAUUUUGUCAAAGCUCUGAGCAUGGCGUAGGGCCAGGACAUACUGCUUAUUCCAAGAAGAAAGGCACUGAGGCUGGUGCUCUGGCGUAGCAGGUAAAGGUGCUGCCUGCAACAUCAGCAUCCUAUCGGCACUGGUUCAAGUCCCGGCUGCACCUCUUCCACUCCAGCUUUCUGCUUAUGGCCUGGGAAGGCAGUGGAGGGUGGCCUAGGUGCUUGGAUCCCUACGCCCACAUGGAAGAAGCUCCUGCCUUUGAGUUGGCCCAACUCCAGGCUUCAUGGCCAUUUGGGGAGUGAACCAGCAGAUGGAAGACCUCUCUCUAACUCUGCCUUUCAAAUAAGUAGAUAAAUCUUUAAAAAAAGGCACUAUCUUUUUAAGAUUUAUUUUAUUUAUUUGAAAGACAGAGUUAAGAGAGAGGCAGAGAGAGAGAAAGAGAGGUCUUCCAUCUGCUGGUUCACUCCCAGAUGGCCACAACAGCCAGAGCUGUGCCAAUCCAAAGCCAGGAGCUACUUCCAGGUCUCCCAUUUGGGUGCAGGGUCCCAAGGACUUGGGCCAUCUUCUACUGCCUUCCCAGGCCAUACAGAAAGCCGAAUCAGAAGUGGAGCAGCUGGGACUAUAACUGGUGCCAAUAUGGGAUGCCGGUGCUUCGGGCCAGGGCACUGUCCUUCUAAGAGCUGGUAGCUACUUUUUUGAUAAAAGAUUUUAUUUAUGGGGGCCAGCUCUGUGGUGUAGUAGGUAAAGCUGCCACUUGCAGUGCUGGCAUCCCAUAUGGCUGCUGGUUCAAGUCCUGGCUGCUGCACUUCCAAUCCAGCUCCCUGCUAAUGUGCCUGGGAAAGCAGUAGAAGAUGGCCCAAGUGCUUGGGCCCCUGCACCCGUGUUGGACACCUGGAUGAAGCUCUGGUUCCUCGCUUUGGCCUGGCCCAUCUCUGGCCAUUUCAGCAUCUGGGGAGUGAACAGCUGAUGGAAGAUGCUCUCUACCUCUGCCUCUCCUUCUCUGUAAUUCUUUCACAUAAAUCUUAAAAAAAAAAAAAAAGUUUAUUUGAAU
Oryctolagus cuniculus (rabbit) is the source of this 2492-nucleotide non-coding RNA. The record is from RefSeq and is a predicted model, not a curated record. Lineage: Eukaryota; Metazoa; Chordata; Mammalia; Lagomorpha; Leporidae.